GCAGGCUGGCUGUGGGUGUGAGGCAGCAGAGGCUUGUGUGUGUCCACCAUGGCCUGGACCGUGCUCCUCCUCGCCCUUCUUGCUCACUGCGCAGGUUCCUGGGCCCAGGUUGUGUUCACUCAGCCUCAGUCUGUGUCGGGGUCACUGGGGGAGACGGUCUCCAUUUCGUGCACACGCAGCAGUGGUAGCAUUUGGGAAUACGCUGUGCACUGGUACCAGCAGCUCCCAGGCAGGGCUCCCACACUCGUGAUCUAUGAUGAUGAUCAGAGAGCCUCGGGGGUUCCUGAGCGGUUCUCUGGCUCCACCGACAGCUCGUCCAACUCUGCCUCCCUGACCAUCUCUGGGCUGCAGGCUGAGGAUGAGGCUGACUACUUCUGUCAGUCUAUUGCUAGCACUGGUAAUUGCACAGUGCUCCAGCCCCACGGGGAAGUGAGACAAAAACUCCCUGAGCAAACAGCCCUGCUUCUACCCUCUACCUGUAAACCUACCCCCAACACCAACUCCAGGAGAAAGUUUAAACCUUCAGCAAGUACAACAUGCUGCCUGAGAACACCCCAGCUAGUGAAUGGAAAUGUCAGGAAUGAGAACGGGGAAGCAAAGAACAUGAUCACCAGCGCCAUCCACCAGGAGGCGCUGUCGGCCGCGCACUUGGCUGUUGCUUGA
Molecule: non-coding RNA, 663 nt
Organism: Ochotona curzoniae (black-lipped pika)
Lineage: Eukaryota; Metazoa; Chordata; Mammalia; Lagomorpha; Ochotonidae
Source: the annotation of a RefSeq genome assembly